This 107-nucleotide microRNA precursor is filed under the name Nicotiana tabacum (common tobacco). RNAcentral describes it as "miR1446 stem-loop (nta-MIR1446)". Lineage: Eukaryota; Viridiplantae; Streptophyta; Magnoliopsida; Solanales; Solanaceae. The record is from miRBase by way of RNAcentral.
CAGCGUUUUCUGAACUCUCUCCCUCAAUGGCUGCUCAUAUAUAUAUAGCCAUGCUUCUUAAUUAAUUAAAGAACAGCCAUGAGAGAUUGAGUUCAGAAAACUCUGGC